This 495-nucleotide ribosomal RNA is filed under the name uncultured bacterium. RNAcentral's name for it is "partial 16S ribosomal RNA". It matches the Rfam family "Bacterial small subunit ribosomal RNA", at positions 28 to 505 of the family's 1533-position model. The record is from RNAcentral.
GAUGAACGCUGGCGGCGUGCCUAAUACAUGCAAGUCGAGCGAACAGAUGAGGAGCUUGCUCCUCUGACGUUAUCGGCGGACGGGUGAGUAACACGUGGUUAACCUACCUAUAAGACUGGGAUAACUUCGGGAAACCGGAGCUAAUACCGGAUAAUAUAUUGCACCGCAUUGUUCAAUAGUGAGAGACGGUUUUGCUGUCACUUAUAGAUGGAUCCGCGCCGCAUUAGCUAGUUGGUAAGGUAACGGCUUACCAAGGCAAAGAUGCGUAGCCGACCUGAGAGGGGAAUCGGACACGGUGGAACAGAGACACGGGCCAGACUGGGACGGGAGGCAGGAGUAGGGAAUUUUCCGCAAUGGGAGAAAGGCAGACGGAGCAACGCCGCGUGAGUGAUGAAGGUAAUCGGAGCGUAAAACUCUGUUAUUAGGGAAGAACAAAUGUGUAAGUAACUAUGCACGUCUAGACGGUACCUAAACAGAAAUCCACGGCUAACUACG